CCUACGGGAGGCAGCAGUGGGGAAUAUUGCACAAUGGGGGAAACCCUGAUGCAGCGACGCCGCGUGAGUGAAGAAGUACCUCGUUAUGUUAAGCUCUAUCAGCAGGGAAGAAAAUGACGGUACCUGAGUAAGUAGCCACGGCGAACUACGUGCCAGCAGCCGCGGUACUACGUAGGGGGCCAGCGUAAUCCGGAUUUACUGGGUGUAAAGGGAGCGUAGACGGCAGUGCAGGUCUGGAGUGCAAGGCGGGGGCUCAACCCCCGGACUGCUCUGGAAACUGUACGGCUGGAGUGCAGGAGAGGUAAGCGGAAUUCGUGGUGUAGCGGUGAAAUGCGUAGAUAUUAGGAGGAACACCAGUGGCGAAGGCGGCUUACUGGACUGUAACUGACGUUGAGGCUCGAAAGCGUGGGGAGCAAACAGGAUUAGAUACCCGGGUAGUC
Molecule: ribosomal RNA, 440 nt
Filed under: uncultured bacterium
Lineage: Bacteria
Description: partial 16S ribosomal RNA
Rfam family: Bacterial small subunit ribosomal RNA
Source: RNAcentral